CAGCAUGUUUCCAAGGGCUUUGGCUGGUUUAUGGUCAUGGGCUCUCCAGCUACAAGAGGAGACACUGACAACUCGGGUCAGCACAGUAGUACCUGUGGUUGCUACUUAUCAUUCUUAGAGAC
RNAcentral lists this small nucleolar RNA (122 nucleotides) under Meriones unguiculatus (Mongolian gerbil). RNAcentral describes it as "Small nucleolar RNA SNORA44 (ENSMUGG00000006701.1)". It matches the Rfam family "Small nucleolar RNA SNORA44". Rfam says of the family: ACA44 is a member of the H/ACA class of snoRNA that guide the sites of modification of uridines to pseudouridines. The record is from RNAcentral. Lineage: Eukaryota; Metazoa; Chordata; Mammalia; Rodentia; Muridae.